GACGAACGCUGGCGGCGUGCUUAACACAUGCAAGUCGAACGGAAAGGCCCUGCUUUUGUGGGGUGCUCGAGUGGCGAACGGGUGAGUAACACGUGAGUAACCUGCCCUUGACUUUGGGAUAACUUCAGGAAACUGGGGCUAAUACCGGAUAGGAGCUCCUGCUGCAUGGUGGGGGUUGGAAAGUUUCGGCGGUUGGGGGUGGACUCGCGGCUUAUCAGCUUGUUGGUGGGGUAGUGGCUUACCAAGGCUUUGACGGGUAGCCGGCCUGAGAGGGUGACCGGCCACAUUGGGACUGAGAUACGGCCAGACUCCUACGGGAGGCAGCAGUGGGGAAUAUUGCACAAUGGGCGGAAGCCUGAUGCAGCAACGCCGCGUGCGGGAUGACGGCCUUCGGGUUGUAAACCGCUUUCGCCUGUGACGAAGCGUGAGUGACGGUAAUGGGUAAAGAAGCACCGGCUAACUACGUG
This 467-nucleotide ribosomal RNA is filed under the name uncultured bacterium. Its description in RNAcentral is "partial 16S ribosomal RNA". It matches the Rfam family "Bacterial small subunit ribosomal RNA", at positions 28 to 507 of the family's 1533-position model. The record is from RNAcentral.